This is a long non-coding RNA of Drosophila pseudoobscura, 993 nucleotides long. RefSeq lists it as uncharacterized. Lineage: Eukaryota; Metazoa; Arthropoda; Insecta; Diptera; Drosophilidae. The transcript has 2 exons. The record is from RefSeq and is a predicted model, not a curated record.
CCAGUCCCAGCCCCAGUCCCAGUCCGAGUCCGAGUCCCCGGGUGCCAUACGAUGCGGCGAUAUUGAUUGAUUUUAACAAUCGCACCAUAAAUGGCCGCCCGGGUCCGGGUCCGGUCCCGCGGCGGCACUGCCACUGAUUGUAACCUGUGCGCUGCGAUGUGAUGUGAGUGGUACACGUCAUCGCGCGUCCACUGUAUCCACCGUUCGCUCAAUCGUGCAUCAUAUAGCGCAUACACCGCAUGACGUCACUCGCUUGCCUCAGAUGGAAAAGCGUUUGUUGUACGCCGCGUCGUUCCAUGGAGGCCCCAAAAAGAAGUUGCAGAAGAAGUCGGGGGCUUGGAGUCGGGGAGUCUUUCUUGUGUUUCAUUUCAUGGAUAACUCACGAGUCGUACGGGUACGAGUGCGAGUAUCUGUGCUGUUUUGUGGAGAUUGUGCAAUGCCUGGAAGCACCAGAAGUGUGCACACACACACACACAUAGCUACAGAUACAGAUACGAGGGUAUCUACAAUGUUGCAAAAGCACCGUUAUAACUCCAGCGGAUAUACCCAUAUACAUACGUAUGUAUGUAAGUGUUUGUGGCACAAUGGAGAGUUUAUUUUUUCCACUCACAACGAUACUGGAUGUACAGGGACAUCUCGCGGUAGAUUGAUCCCCGAGAAUAGCAGCAAACAACAUAGAUGGCGUGUGCAUGAGUCCGUUACAAAAGCAUGCCCACCGCUGCUAUAAAACAGGCACUCUUAUAGCUACAAUAUCUACCUUAUAUCUACAGUUAGAUGGAUUUGCAGGCCGCUCUUAAAGAUCGAUCGUGCUUAUUUAUUGUUUUUUGAAUUGUAUGACUACCUAUUAUUACAAGCAAUUAUUCAGAUUCUUAAAACUCUUAUACAUACAUAUUUCUAAAGGUCUUAUUCAUAUUUAAACUUGAAAACUUUUACACCAUUAUUAAUGUCACGCACAUUGAAAUUGAAUAGAUACAAAAGGGGAAUUUACAAACA